Molecule: ribosomal RNA, 526 nt
Filed under: Streptomyces sp. MSWC8
Lineage: Bacteria; Bacillati; Actinomycetota; Actinomycetes; Kitasatosporales; Streptomycetaceae
Description: bacterial SSU rRNA
Rfam family: Bacterial small subunit ribosomal RNA
Source: RNAcentral
GGAAACGGGGUCUAAUACCGGAUACUGAUCUGCUUGGGCAUCCAAGUGGUUCGAAAGCUCCGGCGGUGCAGGAUGAGCCCGCGGCCUAUCAGCUUGUUGGUGAGGUAAUGGCUCACCAAGGCGACGACGGGUAGCCGGCCUGAGAGGGCGACCGGCCACACUGGGACUGAGACACGGCCCAGACUCCUACGGGAGGCAGCAGUGGGGAAUAUUGCACAAUGGGCGAAAGCCUGAUGCAGCGACGCCGCGUGAGGGAUGACGGCCUUCGGGUUGUAAACCUCUUUCAGCAGGGAAGAAGCGAAAGUGACGGUACCUGCAGAAGAAGCGCCGGCUAACUACGUGCCAGCAGCCGCGGUAAUACGUAGGGCGCAAGCGUUGUCCGGAAUUAUUGGGCGUAAAGAGCUCGUAGGCGGCUUGUCACGUCGGUUGUGAAAGCCCGGGGCUUAACCCCGGGUCUGCAGUCGAUACGGGCAGGCUAAAGUUCGGUAGGGGAGAUCGGAAUUCCUGGUGUAGCGGUGAAAUGGCA